UGGGGCAGGGGAGGUGGGGCAGGGUGGCCUGGAGAGGUGACAUCAGCAGAGUGUGGCCAUGUGGGUUUUGCCUCUCCUAAAGCCUGUUCCACUUAAGCUUUUGUGUCCCCAACCCCCAAUGGUCAGUCCCCAGCCCACACCUGCUUGAGCAGCAGCAGCGUUUGGUGCAUCGGAUCCCUCCUGCCUUGAAGCAUUGUCUUCCCAGCUUCCAAGGCUGCUCCUGCUCUCACCUCUGGUCCUGCUUCCUUGCUCACAACUGUCAGUCUAGAUGUGUCCCAGGGCCCUGGCCUUGACUUCUCUGUAUGUUCACUCCCAAGGGCUCCCUUCCAGCUUGGUGGUUGUCCUCCCGUCUGUGUUCUGAUUGUCUCCACAUUGCUCUCUCCAGCCUAGACCCUGUCCCUGAACUGUGGCCUCCUCCAUCCCAUCCUGCUGCCUGCCCACCAUCUCCACCAGCAGGUUGCAGGGGGAGGUUUCUAAGAGGCCUCUCAAAGUCAGCGUGUCCCAAACUGAGCCCUCCACCCGCAUGCCAAACCCAUUCUUCUUUUGCCUUCGCUGUCUCAGUCCAUGGCAGUUUUAUCCUUACAGGUGUUCAAGCCCAGCAUUGUCCCGACCCCCAACCCCCUUCUUCACAUCCACAUCUACUACGUCAGCAUGUCCCGUCUGCCCUGUUGAUUCCGUUAACCCUCGAGAAAUCCCCUAAAUAGCUCAUAACAUACAGUGUACUUGGCUCUGUGCAUGUGAGCCUAUAUAAUAAUAUAUUUGUAGCUGGACACAGUGGCUCACGCCUGUAAUCCCAGCACUUUGGGAGGCUGAGGCGGGCGGAUCACCUGAGGUCAGCCUGGCCAACAUGGUGAAACCCCAUCUGUACUGAAAAUACAAAAAUUAGUCGGGCGUGGUGGUGGGCGCCUGUAAUCUCAGCUACUCGGGAGACUGAGGCAGGAGAAUUGCUUGAAUCUGAGAGGCAGAGGUUGCAGUGAGCCGAGAUCGCGCCAUUGCAUUUCAGCCUGGGUGAUAGAACGAGACUGUCUCAAAAAAUGAUAAUUUUAUAUUUGUAACAGUUACAGAAAUGUGCUGCAUCUAAAAAAAAUAGAUGUGCAAAAUACAGUUCUCCAGUAUUUUAAAUUUUGUGUGAGAAACAGAAUAAUGACAGGUAGAUGGGAUGUAUGGUACACUGGGUUUGAGUGAGCCAUAGGCGUGUCCUGCAGAGCCAAAAGGCCCCAAGCCUCUGUGGAAUGCUCUUGUACCCAAGAAGUCCUGCAGAAGAGGAGCCGCAGGCUCCUUAGGGGAAGAAAUGUCCAUUCUGCAGGGCUCACUGGGUAACUGGAGCAGAAGGAGAGCCAUUAGACCCUAGUAUCUGUGUCUGCGCCUAGGGGUGGAGAGAGUGGUGUCUGCUGGAACCACAGCGGGGCUCAGGGGCUUUUGAGUCCGGGAAGGGUGAUCUUCACUCCAACCUCUUUCUUGGGACCAGGUGAGGCUUCGAGCUCUGAGGAAGAGCCUCCAUCCCCAGAUGAUAAAGAGAACCAGGCCCCAAAACGGACUGGCCCACAUCUGCGCUUCGAGAUCAGCAGUGAGGAUGGGUUCAGCGUGGAGGCAGAGAGCUUGGAGGGUGAGUGGGGGGAGGGGGGGGUGCAGUGACAGGAGGGAGAGUGUCCAUAAAACACCAUCCUGACUCACCUCUGGCUCUGCUGUCUACCCAGGGGCGUGGAGAACUCUGAUCGAGAAAGUGCAAGAGGCCCGAGGGCAUGCCCGACUCAGACAUCUCUCCUUUAGUGGAAUGAGUGGGGCGAGACUCCUGGGCAUCCACCACGAUGCUGUCAUCUUCCUGGCCGAGCAGCUCCCCGGAGCCCAGCGUUGCCAGCACUAUAAGUUCCGUUACCACCAGCAGGGAGAGGGCCAGGAGGAGCCGCCCCUGAAUCCCCACGGGGCUGCUCGGGCAGAGGUCUAUCUCCGAAAGUGCACCUUUGACAUGUUCAACUUCCUGGCCUCCCAGCACCGGGUGCUCCCUGAGGGGGCCACCUGUGACGAGGAAGAGGAUGAGGUGCAGCUCAGGUCAACCAGACGUGCCACCAGCCUGGAGCUGCCCAUGGCCAUGCGCUUUCGUCACCUUAAGAAGACGUCCAAAGAAGCUGUGGGUGUCUACAGAUCAGCCAUCCACGGGCGAGGCCUGUUCUGUAAGCGCAACAUUGACGCGGGGGAGAUGGUCAUCGAGUACUCUGGCAUCGUCAUCCGCUCAGUGUUGACUGACAAGCGGGAGAAGUUCUACGAUGGGAAGGGCAUCGGGUGCUAUAUGUUCCGCAUGGAUGACUUUGAUGUAGUGGACGCCACGAUGCAUGGCAAUGCCGCCCGCUUCAUCAAUCACUCCUGUGAGCCCAACUGCUUCUCUCGGGUCAUCCACGUGGAGGGCCAGAAACACAUUGUUAUCUUCGCCCUGCGCCGCAUCCUGCGUGGUGAGGAGCUCACCUACGACUACAAGUUCCCCAUCGAGGAUGCCAGCAACAAGCUGCCCUGCAACUGUGGCGCCAAGCGCUGCCGUCGGUUCCUUAACUGAGGCCGUGGCUGCCCACCACGACCCCUCACACCUCCUGCUGCCGUCGCUGCCAUCUUGCCCCUAGCCUGGGGGCUCCCUAGCCCCUCCCAGAGCAUCUCACCCCCACCCUUCUGUUCAGGGUGGAUGUGGGCAUGCAGGUGACAAGGGCCCUGCCUCCACCCCUCCAGCCCACCCAGCAAUCGCCCCCUUUCUGCCCUGGGGGCCCAGGAUGUAGAUAUUGUACAAAGGUUUCUAAAUCCCUUCUUUUCUAUGCACUUUUUUAUUUAAGAGGUGGGGUCCCAGGUGGGAACCCCCCCACAAUAAAGUCUGUCAAUGUUUGGA
This 2869-nucleotide small RNA is filed under the name Pongo abelii (Sumatran orangutan). RNAcentral's name for it is "retained intron". The record is from RNAcentral. Lineage: Eukaryota; Metazoa; Chordata; Mammalia; Primates; Hominidae.